CUUCGCGCCGUUGCACAAAGUUUACUAAAGUUUUCUGUAGAGAUGCCACGGUUCUACAAUAAAUUGUUCUCUAUUUUUAUUUUUACAGCCUUCUGGUUCUCUUUGCUUUUAAUCCGUUAUAUAAACUAUGAUCUUCUAAAGUCUCAGCAUAAGCAUUUGAGAUUUGUGGUCCUUUCCGAUUUAGGAAUAACAGGAACAAAUUUUAUUUUGUUACUUAAUAAAAAUAACAUCAGUUUUAUUUUGUUGGUACCACUUUUCGCGCUUGAGAAGGGAGGAGGGAUGGCACGAGUUUUAAUCUUAAAUUAUUUAAGAACUCUAGGUGUGGACUGUAAAAUAAUUGAUUCCUGCACAAGAAGCACCCUGUACGCUAGUGGAGCUUUCCUAAGUGCAAGUCAUGCUCUUUUGCUUAUUGAUGAAGAAAUCAGGAAUUUAUCUGAAUUCGUAAAAAAUCAUACUAGCUGUUUAUUUUCGUUUCUAG
Long non-coding RNA from Zophobas morio, 478 nucleotides. RefSeq lists it as uncharacterized. The transcript has 4 exons. The record is from RefSeq and is a predicted model, not a curated record. NCBI's taxonomy places the organism in Eukaryota, Metazoa, Arthropoda, Insecta, Coleoptera, Tenebrionidae.